This is a long non-coding RNA of Cyprinus carpio carpio, 1501 nucleotides long. Lineage: Eukaryota; Metazoa; Chordata; Actinopteri; Cypriniformes; Cyprinidae. The record is from Ensembl.
AUUUGAUAUUUUUCCGUGGUAUUAAACUUCGCAUUCCACUGUUAUUAGUAAUAUAACUUCUAAUGCCAACUACCAAACAUGACACUUACAAAUUAAUACAAUUUAUGAACGCACAUAGAAAAGAAAGAAAGUAGGGAUUUUUUUUUUUCAUUGUUUUAUUUAUUUAGUUAUUUUUUUAUACUGAACAAACACUUACACAAUGGAUUUGUUUUCUCCAUACUGUUCAUCUAACAAGUCUCUGUCUGCUUUUCUCUCCAGCAGUUUGUGUCCAUUAUUCUCUCUGUUCUGCUGGUUUUUGCUCGUCUGUGGUUUCUGACGCUCCAACAGUUUUCUCCUUUCUACACUUCAUUUGUAUCAGUGUAAAGUCAUCCAAGUCAAGAUGCCACCAUUCACAUAUCCAGCCAUAAACACAUAUUUAUACCAGUUUGAUCAGGCUCCGAAAAUUCUUCAAAAAGAACACAAAGAAUGGCCUUCAGCUGCCACAGUUGCAACUCUUGUGUCAUCAGAACAAUGUGUUCAACGCACCACCGUUUCUGUUUAACAAACGUUUUGCAAUGUUUUGUUGGGGCUGAACGCAGCUCUAGAGUCUCUAGUCAUGUGACAUGUACAACUCAUGUGAUUGGCUCAAAUCAGUCGAGCAGCAGAAUGACUUCAUACAUCAAGACAACAUCCAAAAACUGUAAAAUAGAACACUGUCUUGAAUAUAAAGUUAAUAUUACUGAUUGUUUGCUAGUGUACAGACAUAGAUGUACAGUAUGCAAAAAAGUUUUAUAAGAUAAUUAACAAAUAUGACUACAUAAAUAUUUGCAUGAAUGUCUUGUAUUAUAUUAUAUAGGGUUUUGACGUGACAAUCUCACCUCUGUUUUAAUGUCAGAAUGAGACCUCACAUGUCCGUCUGGAUCAUCUGACACUAGAAAUCACAAACAUAUAUCAGAUUAUCCUCAUUGUUUUUGAUUUGUUUUUAUGUUCUCAAUCUAUAAUACAUCACUUACACACGCCUGUAAAAAUUCAUCUGUGACGGCAGAACGGCAGUUCUGUCUGAAUGUGGUGCUUUAUGACAGAAUUGUUAAGACAAUAAUAGUAUCUGUAGCAGGACCACACUAAACACAAACUUGCGGUUCGGCUUUAGUUUCUACAUACUCCCACGUCUCUGUCUGCUUUUCUCUCCAGUAGUUUGUGUUUCAUUUCUGGCCUCCGUUUUUCUCUGUUCAAUUUAGAGAUCAGUUUAAAAAUGGUUAAUGAUCAGUGUGCAAUACAGGUUGACUAUAACAGAAGCAAAUGUUCUGAUUUAAAUGAUAAAAAUCUCUUUACAAAACAAAUAAAUAUACAGUGUUUUAAUCACCUUGUGAUGAGAAGAAAAGAGGAACCCUCCACCACAGCUCUGAGAUCUCUGCUGAUAAUAUGAUCUCUUUCAGUUCAGAAAGACACUUUUAGUUUGAACUGAACUCCUUGAACUGUAAUCUCACUUCAUAAUAUUGUAUAUCUGUAAGAUUACUCAUGC